Long non-coding RNA from Lynx canadensis (Canada lynx), 302 nucleotides. RefSeq lists it as uncharacterized. NCBI's taxonomy places the organism in Eukaryota, Metazoa, Chordata, Mammalia, Carnivora, Felidae. The record is from RefSeq and is a predicted model, not a curated record. The transcript has 3 exons.
CAUAUGAUUUUUCUUCUAUGAGGUACUGAGAGUAGUCAAAACCAUGAAGGCAGAAAGUAGAAGUGUGCUUGCCAUUAUACAGGGAGGAGGGGAGAGCAGGGAGUUUGUGUUUAUUGUGUUUUUGUGAGCAUACAGUUUCAGUGUUAUAAGAUGGAAAGUCCUGGACAUGGAUGGUGGUGAUGGCCACACAGCAACAUGAAUGUUCUUUACACUACUGAACUGUGCACUUAAAAAUGGUUAAGAUGGUAAAUAUGCACAGUACAAAAAUUUUUCUAAGAAGGAAAAUGAUUGGAAAUGGUAAA